This 402-nucleotide ribosomal RNA is filed under the name Bacteroidota bacterium. Its description in RNAcentral is "Bacteroidetes bacterium partial 16S ribosomal RNA". It matches the Rfam family "Bacterial small subunit ribosomal RNA", at positions 355 to 776 of the family's 1533-position model. Lineage: Bacteria; Pseudomonadati; Bacteroidota. The record is from RNAcentral.
UGGGGAAUUUUGCACAAUGGGGGAAACCCUGAUGCAGCGACGCCGCGUGAUUUAGAAGGCCUUCGGGUUGUAAAAAUCUUUUUUAUGGGAUGAAAAUGACAGUACCAUAAGAAUAAGGUCCGGCUAAAUACGUGCCAGCAGCCGCGGUAAUACGUAUGGACCGAGCGUUGUCCGGAAUCAUUGGGCGUAAAGGGUACGUAGGCGGCCCAGUAAGUUAGAAGUGAAAUAAUAUAGCUCAACUAUAUAAAGCUUUUAAAACUGCUAGGCUUGAGAGAUGGAAGGGAAAGUGGAAUUCCUAGUGGAGCGGUGAAAUGCGCAGAUAUUAGGAAGAAUACUGGUGGCGAAGGCGACUUUCUGGUCAUCAUCUGGCGCUGAGGUACGAAAGCGUGGGUAGCAAACAGG